RNAcentral lists this unclassified non-coding RNA (25 nucleotides) under Mus musculus (house mouse). RNAcentral describes it as "oocyte_clustered_small_RNA13729". The record is from RNAcentral. Lineage: Eukaryota; Metazoa; Chordata; Mammalia; Rodentia; Muridae.
CUGAUCUUGAGUUUGCAUAGGCUUC